RNAcentral lists this ribosomal RNA (509 nucleotides) under Callicarpa longissima. RNAcentral describes it as "eukaryotic LSU rRNA". The stretch from base 348 to 509 matches the Rfam family "Eukaryotic large subunit ribosomal RNA", at positions 1 to 162 of the family's 3401-position model. The record is from RNAcentral. Lineage: Eukaryota; Viridiplantae; Streptophyta; Magnoliopsida; Lamiales; Lamiaceae.
AUGCGAUACUUGGUGUGAAUUGCAGAAUCCCGUGAACCAUCGAGUUUUUGAACGCAAGUUGCGCCCGAGGCCAUCAGGCCAAGGGCACGCCUGCCUGGGCGUCACGUAUCACGUCGCCCUCCCCACUCCUCUCCCCGAACGGGACGAGGACCGCGGGUGAGGGCGGAAACUGGCCUCCCGUGCCUUCGCGCGGCCGGCCUAAACCGGGGUCCCUAGCUGCGGACGUCACGACGAGUGGUGGUUGAAACCCUCAACUCGAAAGCGAGUCGUGCGCGCGCCCCGUGAGCCAGGAGACCGCUAGACCCUGAGGCGAGCGAGCCCCUUGCGAGGAACGCUCUCCACGACCGCGACCCCAGGUCAGGCGGGGCUACCCGCUGAGUUUAAGCAUAUCAAUAAGCGGAGGAAAAGAAACUAACAAGGAUUCCCCUAGUAACGGCGAGCGAACCGGGAAGAGCCCAAGCUUAGAAUCGGGCGGCCUUGCCGUUCGAAUUGUAGUCUGGAGAAGCGUC